GCCUAGCUGGCUCAGUCGGUAAAGCAUGUGACUCUUGGUCCCGGGGUCGUGAGUUCGAGCCCCACGCUGGGCA
RNAcentral lists this transfer RNA (73 nucleotides) under Ailuropoda melanoleuca (giant panda). It matches the Rfam family "tRNA". From Rfam's summary of the family: Transfer RNA (tRNA) molecules are approximately 80 nucleotides in length. Their secondary structure includes four short double-helical elements and three loops (D, anti-codon, and T loops). The record is from Rfam by way of RNAcentral. Lineage: Eukaryota; Metazoa; Chordata; Mammalia; Carnivora; Ursidae.